GGUGGUUCUUGGGUGACACGCCCUGGGAUCAGGCUCCCUCCUCUCUGGUUGUGGGGUGCAUCACAGUAGAACCGUU
Molecule: non-coding RNA, 76 nt
Organism: Myotis brandtii (Brandt's bat)
Lineage: Eukaryota; Metazoa; Chordata; Mammalia; Chiroptera; Vespertilionidae
Source: Rfam